GGAGAAUCAAACAUCAGUUUAGGGUUUUGCUCUAUAAAGUGCGCGUUGCUCCUCUCUUCAGUCAUAUCUUCGAUCAAACAUCAAUUUUGCGUCCGCAAUCUCCACCGCGUCAUCGAUCUUCAUCAGAUGCCUGAGAUAGAUGUUGGUUUAUCCUCGUUGAAUAUUCACGACGAAAAAGAUAGUACUUUAACUCAAAGACCAAUUGGAGUGAAAAAGGCAAAAUCAAGGCGUCGAUCUAGUAAUAAGUUAGAGACUUUAAUCAAGGCUAAUAAAAAAUUGAACAAAUGUAUAGUCAAGUACAAUGAAGUUAUGAUGAGAAGGAAAGAAAUUCAAGCUCAAAAAAAUGCAUUAGAUAUAAGAUUGGCGGAAGAUAAAAUUAUGUGCACUGAUCUAAAUUCUAUUAUUGAUCCUGUGUAUUAUGAGUUCAUAAAAAACGAAAAAAUUCGAAUAGCGAGGAAGAGAAUAGAACCUCAUGUUCAUACGUAUGGACAAGGAUUAGAAUAUGAAGGAUUUCAA
This is a long non-coding RNA of Cynara cardunculus var. scolymus (artichoke), 516 nucleotides long. RefSeq lists it as uncharacterized. The transcript is spliced from 2 exons. NCBI's taxonomy places the organism in Eukaryota, Viridiplantae, Streptophyta, Magnoliopsida, Asterales, Asteraceae. The record is from RefSeq and is a predicted model, not a curated record.